GUUUUUUGUCUUUUCUUU
RNAcentral lists this small RNA (18 nucleotides) under Arabidopsis thaliana (thale cress). RNAcentral describes it as "ATSL109820". The record is from RNAcentral. Lineage: Eukaryota; Viridiplantae; Streptophyta; Magnoliopsida; Brassicales; Brassicaceae.